AACGAACGCUGGCGGCAGGCUUAACACAUGCAAGUCGAACGCAUCCUUCGGGGUGAGUGGCAGACGGGUGAGUAACGCGUGGAACGUGCCCUUCAGCUCGGGAUAACCCAGGGAAACUUGGGCUAAUACCGGAUACGUGCGAGAGCAGAAAGAUUUAUCGCUGAAGGAUCGGCCCGCGUCUGAUUAGCUGGUUGGUGGGGUAAUGGCCCACCAAGGCGACGAUCAGUAGCUGGUCUGAGAGGAUGAUCAGCCACAUUGGGACUGAGACACGGCCCAAACUCCUACGGGAGGCAGCAGUGGGGAAUAUUGGACAAUGGGCGCAAGCCUGAUCCAGCCAUGCCGCGUGAGUGAUGAAGGCCUUAGGGUUGUAAAGCUCUUUCGUCCGGGACGAUAAUGACGGUACCGGAAGAAGAAGCCCCGGCUAACUUCGUGCCAGCAGCCGCCGUAA
RNAcentral lists this ribosomal RNA (448 nucleotides) under uncultured bacterium. RNAcentral describes it as "partial 16S ribosomal RNA". It matches the Rfam family "Bacterial small subunit ribosomal RNA", at positions 29 to 523 of the family's 1533-position model. The record is from RNAcentral.